ACGGGGUGCAGCAGGCGCGAAACCUCCGCAAUGCGGGCAACCGCGACGGGGGGACCCCCAGUGCCGUGGCAACGCCACGGCUUUUCCGGAGUGUAAAAAGCUCCGGGAAUAAGGGCUGGGCAAGGCCGGUGGCAGCCGCCGCGGUAAUACCGGCGGCCCGAGUGGUGGCCGCUAUUAUUGGGCCUAAAGCGUCCGUAGCCGGGCCCGUAAGUCCCUGGCGAAAUCCCACGGCUCAACCGUGGGGCUUGCUGGGGAUACUGCGGGCCUUGGGACCGGGAGAGGCCGGGGGUACCCCUGGGGUAGGGGUGAAAUCCUAUAAUCCCAGGGGGACCGCCAGUGGCGAAGGCGCCCGGCUGGAACGGGUCCGACGGUGAGAGACGAAGGCCAGGGGAGCGAACCGGAUUAGAUACCCGGGUAGUCCUGGCUGUAAAGGAUGCGGGCUAGGUGUCGGGCGAGCUUCGAGCUCGCCCGGUGCCGAAGGGAAGCCGUUAAGCCCGCCGCCUGGGGAGUACGGCCGCAAGGCUGAAACUUAAAGGAAUUGGCGGGGGAGCAC
This 553-nucleotide ribosomal RNA is filed under the name uncultured euryarchaeote. RNAcentral's name for it is "bacterial SSU rRNA". It matches the Rfam family "Archaeal small subunit ribosomal RNA", at positions 325 to 879 of the family's 1478-position model. Lineage: Archaea; Methanobacteriati; Methanobacteriota. The record is from RNAcentral.